Triticum dicoccoides is the source of this 3302-nucleotide long non-coding RNA. RefSeq lists it as uncharacterized. The record is from RefSeq and is a predicted model, not a curated record. Lineage: Eukaryota; Viridiplantae; Streptophyta; Magnoliopsida; Poales; Poaceae. The transcript is spliced from 6 exons.
GUAGGGCAAAUCAUCAAACGGAAUAUAAAGCAGGGCAAAUUAUCAACUGCCCAAAUAAAGUGGGGCAUAUUAUCCAAUCUCCCACGGUUGGACUCCAGGAGCUGCCGAGGUUGUCCUCACCAAGGAAGCGGCCGACAGCGCAAGGGGGGGCUCGUCCUUACGUGGUGCUCAACCGGGGAUUGAGAUUUGGAGGGAGACUAGGGAGACCCCGGCGAAAACGAGCGUGCUAGCGGAGGCUCCGGGAAUGCAGGGUGAUAGGGCCCAGUCUAUGCUCCCGUUGUGUUGUUGAAUUUUCAGGAUGGGCCUUCCUAUCCAUAAGUUUGUCUUUAUACUGCAUAUUAAUUCACUCUUUUAGCUUCUGGACGGGAUUUAGACAAGGAAACGGAGACCCGUGCAAAAUCGAGCAUCCUGGUGGUGCCUCGACCAAAGCGGGUCGACGGAUAGCGCCGGUGAGCACGGAGCAUGGUGCAGCGAGUUGGAUAGGCGGCAAGAGAGGUGACCACGGGUGUGGCUUGGGGAGCUCCGCACACAUGAAGUGAUGAUGAGUGCAUCCGACCCCACCAUGCUGCUGGUCCUGGAGAACAAGGUAUUGGCAUUUGUCAUUGUACAACACUAGCGAACCGGCAAGCAAUGAAGUUGUUUAUUCCAUUCCCCUGUAAACUAUGAACUGAAUGGCUACUGUGUUGAUGCAUAUUUGUUUAACUGAAGUUUAGUUUUAUUAUGUCCAUACCUUUGAUUUGUUCUACUUUAGUGUGGUCUGAGAUAUAAUGAUUUAUUACAUGUGUAUCACAUAUCUAUUUAUACUUACUUUGGAAAUUGCAGCAUCCUCUCCUAACUGUCCGAAUGGGGGCUUUUAGCUAAUUAUUACCAAACACUGAAAUUUCUAAAACUGAAAAGAUAUUAAAGAAACACAAACUGUUUCAGAAUACUCCAGGAUUGAAUUUGGGCAUUGCGCCUUAAUAAGAUAUCAAUCAAAAGCUUAGUGAAAAAUAAAUAUAUUACCAACGCGAGGUACUGAAUUAAAAUGUGCAUCUACAUCUUAUUGUACAGAACAAGCUUACUUAUUUUAAUUAAAGGGGUAUAUAUAUAUAUCAAAUCAGUAUAGUCCUUUUUAACUUUGAGCUAACACAGAAAAUUGUAUAGAGAAAAUUUACGAUCGCAUUUUGAAAACUCUAUUGCAUAGUUUGAACCUUCAAUUUUCAUUACUAAAAGGAUCGUUGGUAUUGCCAAAUUGCCAAGCAUUUAUUUUCAAUUACUCUUGGUUUGGCAUGGACACUGUGCCAUUUGGCGCCAUUCGAUGCCCAACUCCUAUCAUUUGUUGCAUUUAUCUAUUCUAGAUAAAAUGAAAUGAAUCUUCAGUGUUGGGACUAAUGAUUGACACUUGUUGUCUAAAUGCAGUACAUGCGCAUUGCAGCGGUAAUGUUGUUAACUGUCCCUAUAUAUUCCUUUGUUAGAUGUCUAAUAAAUCAAGAAUUUGACACUUGUCAGUAAGUUCAGUAUAUCAUCGUUUACUUAGACAAAAUACAUCAUGGUCAAACAAUACAAAUAUUUCACAAGUAGAAAAGGCAUACAAAUAUUAAUUUCCAGUAAAAUGAUGAAGUGUUCAGAUAUAUCAAUGCUUUCACCUCACUUGUCAUGCUGUUAUGAACUAUAUUUUUUGUGUAAUUGCUAUAUCAGAAUCGAAGUAACCCAUUCGACGCUUGACUGUAUCUUAGCAUGCUUAUUGAGUACAUUCCUUAUGUCAUUUUUACAGAUAAAUUAUUUUGUGUCAAGUAUCGCUUUUUGCCAUAUGGACAUGACAAGUUGUCAUACAUCGGCCUGUCAAAUUUAUCGGGUGCCAAGUUCACUUGCCAUAUUCUCAAUUUUGUUUCUUCUGAUUUUGGUGUUGGUGUGUGUAUUGUUAGUGAAAAUAUGCUCAUAGUUUUUUUUUAAAUAUGUGUACGCCAUUAACUGAUGUCAUUGUGUUUUCCAAGGGUAUAUGAACCAGAAAUGAUGUGAUAUACUUGGUUAUUUGAACAUGAAGGUCAACCGCGGGGUGGCGCGACAUGGGUGAGCUGAAAUUGUUCUACUGAUUCCUUGAUGCUCUGUUCAUUGCUUUGUUCUUAUUUUAUCGUUCUUUAUUUGCUUUGUUCUUUCCUACAAGAAGAUGCCGAGUCGUGUAAUAUGUUCAAAGAAGUGAGAAUCUGCAUUUUAUGAAUGUUUUCUUCUUUCUUCAUUGUUACCUCAAGUCAGUGAAUUCAGUUAAGUUGUACUGAGCAGCUUCAUACGCAUGAUUUCUCCAUCUACACAUCUUAUUCAGUCAUGAGGCCAUUAAGAUCUUUUUGACAUUUAUAAAAAGGGUGAUGCCAAUUAGACGUUACCGUGUCCAACUUGAUCUUUAACUUGCUAUUACUGUUGGGAUCUGCACAUUCAAGGAUUUUUCAUUAAAUCAUCGGUUCACCAGUUCUUUGUUACUUGAGAUAUUGUGAUAAACUUAUAUCAUUGCUUACUAUACAUAUGUCUGGAUGAUGCCUGCAGGCUCAUUACAAGCUUCAGCUGGAUCAAAUAGUGGGCCUUCUAUAUAUAUAUAUAUUCAGCUGUAUCAUUUCUUACUAUAUAUAUCUUUCUGUCGACCAGACAAAACCAUACAUGGAUCCUUUGCCUCCUUUAUUGCUCAGACCCCAUGAUACAACCUUGGCGGUUGUCCAGCGACUAACAGGGUCCUCCACCGAUGGUGAAAAUACCUCACAUGAUGAUGUUGGAUAUUCUUCUACAAACUUCUGGCCUACCAGUGGCUGAGUAUCGAAGCAAAAUGUGACAGUUGCAUGAUGUGCUUGACUGUGUAUUUGCAUACAGCAAUAUCAUCUUUUGGAGAUAUAAACAGCCGUAUGGCUGUUACAUGAGACCAUGUCGGAAGACCCUGCUGCUAUGUAAGGAAAAGGAUUCAUGAUACCCGCGGUGAAAACAGAGAUAAGAUGAUACAGUUAGAGCAGCAUUGAGAAACCAAGGACACGAAAUGAGUCUGAAAAAUGCUAUGGGCUGAUUCGUUCUAGCUAGGCUAUGUGUGGUAGAAGUUGUACUCACAGGAAGACUAUCGUGCUUUGUAUAAACCACGUUCUAUGAUUCACUUCUAUUAUGCUUAUUUACAUUCCAGUGUUAGGACUGAAAUCCAUCUAUUUAAUGAAUUUGGUUGUAUUGGCAUUACCUAUUUGACUUAGGCUUGGUUCAUCACAUAUAGACUGUUUUUCUUGUAACCCGCUACUUGUAUGACCUAAAACUGUCAUGUAUAAGGCAAGUUAUUAGCAAUGUUUCACAUUUUCUUA